This 994-nucleotide long non-coding RNA is filed under the name Oryza sativa Indica Group (long-grained rice). Its description in RNAcentral is "lncRNA OsZS97_03G020670". Lineage: Eukaryota; Viridiplantae; Streptophyta; Magnoliopsida; Poales; Poaceae. The record is from RNAcentral.
AUGUGGGGUGAUACUGGUCGGAGGUCGACCUCGUCGAGACCCCCGGAAAGGCGCUGCCGACGCUCACCUGAUCCUUUCCGUAGGUCGGUCGAUGCCCGCCAACUAUCCCCGGGUAUGGACGACUACGGGAUAGAUGACCGCUAUAUGGAUGGUUUGGAGGGAGAUAGGGAUGAUCCUAUGGAACAGCUCAUCCCCGAGGCCAACGACGACACAAACUUGUCUACACCGGGAGGCGAGGCUGAGCCAUUUGCACCAUCUGCGGGGAGAGCGGAGCGUUGGCGGCACUUAAAAAAAAUCAUGGUAAUAGUAGAUGGUCAACUGGUAACACGUGCUACCUAUAAACAUUAUGGAAAAUCUUUGUCUGCAUCUUCUAGUUCAGGAAUAGGACAUCUCAACCGGUAUUAUUUGACGCACCUCAAGGAUAAAGCACCGGCAGGAGCAAGGCAGACACAACUAAGCUUCGGACCCGACGGUUCUGUAAGAAAAUUUCUCAAGUACUUCACUGCUAUUCCACACCUUUAUUGUUUUGCUUUGGUACUUGAUCCUCAUAAAAAGUUGGAGAUCGUGGAGGCUGCUUUCAUAUCAAUAGGUGAUGCAAUGGGUCUUGAUUAUUCUGAAGCUUAUCAACAUGCUAGAGAUGAGUUGUUCAGGGUUUUCCGUCUGUACCAAACUAAGCUAAGUGUUGCUCGUCGGGUGCCUGAGGAAACCCCACAAAAAAAGCAAAGCAAAUCAAGUGCAAUGAAUUUGUGGAAAAAGAUCAGGGGCAAGGAAGAAGCCUCCUCAUCAGGUAGCAGGUCAAAUUGGAACCCAGAUGCAAAGCUUAACCAUUUCCUCAACACCAAUCACACCGAACAUGAUCGAACACUGGAUGGUGAAGAUGUUGAUCUACUUGAGUGGUGGAAAGAGAAAGAGCGGACUCUUCCUGUGCUAGCUCACUUUGCACGGGACGUUCUAUUGGUUCCGGCUUCUUCUGUCUCUUCGUAGCAUGCAUUUA